UACGUAGGGGGCAAGCGUUGUCCGGAAUCAUUGGGCGUAAAGCGCGUGUAGGCGGUCAGGUAAGUCUGCUCUGAAAGCCCGGGGCUCAACCCCGGGAGGCGGGUGGAUACUGCUUGACUCGAGUCCGGAAGAGGCGAGUGGAAUUCCUGGUGUAGCGGUGAAAUGCGCAGAUAUCGGGAAGAACACCCGUGGCGAAGGCGGCUCUCUGGGACGGUACUGACGCUGAGACGCGAAAGCGUGGGGAGCGAACAGG
Molecule: ribosomal RNA, 253 nt
Filed under: uncultured bacterium
Lineage: Bacteria
Description: partial 16S ribosomal RNA
Rfam family: Bacterial small subunit ribosomal RNA
Source: RNAcentral